RNAcentral lists this microRNA precursor (59 nucleotides) under Eptatretus burgeri (inshore hagfish). RNAcentral describes it as "Ebu-Mir-181-P2e_pre stem-loop". Lineage: Eukaryota; Metazoa; Chordata; Myxini; Myxiniformes; Myxinidae. The record is from RNAcentral.
AACAUUCAUUGCUGUCAGUGGGUGUGAGUAUGGUCUACCCAGGGAGCACUGAAUGCACA